CCUACGGGAGGCAGCAGUGAGGAAUAUUGGUCAAUGGGCUUACGCCUGAACCAGCCAAGUCGCGUGAGGGAAGACUGCCCUAUGGGUUGUAAACCUCUUUUGUCAGGGAGCAAUUGGCGCUACGUGUAGCGUUAUCGAGAGUACCUGAAGAAAAAGCAUCGGCUAACUCCGUGCCAGCAGCCGCGGUAAUACGGAGGAUGCGAGCGUUAUCCGGAAUGACUGGGCGUAAAGGGUGCGUAGGUGGUUUGGCAAGUUAGUAGCGUAAUUCCGGGGCUCAACUUCGGAACUACUACUAAAACUGCUGGGCUUGAGUGCAGGAGGGGCAGAUGGAAUUCCUAGUGUAGCGGUGGAAUGCGUAGAUAUUAGGAGGAACACCAGUGGCGAAGGCGAUAUGCUGGACUGUAACUGACACUGAGGCACGAAAGCGUGGGGAGCAAACAGGAUUAGAUACCCGGGUAGUC
RNAcentral lists this ribosomal RNA (461 nucleotides) under uncultured bacterium. Its description in RNAcentral is "partial 16S ribosomal RNA". It matches the Rfam family "Bacterial small subunit ribosomal RNA", at positions 338 to 795 of the family's 1533-position model. The record is from RNAcentral.